Molecule: ribosomal RNA, 750 nt
Filed under: uncultured archaeon
Lineage: Archaea
Description: bacterial SSU rRNA
Rfam family: Archaeal small subunit ribosomal RNA
Source: RNAcentral
GAGCCUGCGUUAUGCUCGUAGGUUUCGCCUAAGGAUGAGGCCGCGACCGAUCAGGUUGUUGGUGAGGUAAUGGCUCACCAAGCCUUUUACCGGUGCGGGCCGUGAGAGCGGAGCCCGGAGAUGGGCACUGAGACAAGGGCCCAGGCCCUACGGGGCGCAGCAGUCGCGAAAACUUUGCAAUACACGCAAGUGUGACAGGGCUAUCCCGAGUGCCAUCCGCUGAGGAAGGCUUUUACCCAGUCUAGAACGCUGGGGGAAUAAGGAGAGGGCAAGUCUGGUGUCAGCCGCCGCGGUAAUACCAGCUCUCCGAGUGGUGUGGAUGUUUAUUGGGCCUAAAGCAUCCGUAGCUGGCUAGGUCAGUCCCUUGUUAAAUCCACCGAAUUAAUCGUUGGAUUGCGGGGGAUACUGCCUGGCUAGGGAACGAGAGAGGCAGACGGUAUUUUCGGGGUAGGGGUAAAAUCCUAUAAUCCCGGGAAGACCACCAGCGGCGAAGGCUGUCUGCUAGAACGCGUCCGACGGUGAGGGAUGAAAGCUGGGGGAGCGAACCGGAUUAGAUACCCGGGUAGUCCCAGCUGUAAACGAUGCAGGCUAGGUGUUUGGACGGCCACGUGCCGUUCUAGUGCCGCAGAGAAGCUGUUAAGCCUGCCGCCCGGGGAGUACGAUCGCAAGAUUGAAACUUAAAGGAAUUGGCGGGGGAGCACCACAAGGGGUGAAGCUUGCGGUUUAAUUGGAGUCAACGCCGGGAAGGGC